UACGUAGGGACCGAGCGUUGUCCGGAUUCAUUGGGCGUAAAGAGCUCGUAGGCGGCCACUCAAGUCGAAUGUGAAACCUCGAGGCUUAACCUCGAGCCUGCAUUCGAUACUGGGCGGCUAGAGUCUGGUAGGGGGAUCUGGAAUUCCUGGUGUAGCGGUGGAAUGCGCAGAUAUCAGGAGGAACACCGAUGGCGAAGGCAGGUCUCUGGGCCGCAACUGACGCUGAGGAGCGAAAGCAUGGGGAGCGAACAGG
This 253-nucleotide ribosomal RNA is filed under the name uncultured bacterium. RNAcentral's name for it is "partial 16S ribosomal RNA". It matches the Rfam family "Bacterial small subunit ribosomal RNA", at positions 524 to 776 of the family's 1533-position model. The record is from RNAcentral.